Molecule: long non-coding RNA, 862 nt
Organism: Ochotona princeps (American pika)
Lineage: Eukaryota; Metazoa; Chordata; Mammalia; Lagomorpha; Ochotonidae
Exons: 3
Source: RefSeq, a predicted model, not a curated record
GUCUUUCUGUAGUGUCUCACCCCAUCAUUUCUUCUUUCUGGAAUAUUUAUGCAUUUCUAAAUUAUUUCCAAAGGAAAGGAAGAGGGAAGGGUAGCAAGCAAGAGAGACAAAGAGAUCUUCAUUUGCUGAAUCACUACGUAAGUGGCUGCAAUAGCUAAGGCUGGGUCAGCCUGAAGGCAGGAGACCCGAACUUAAUUUGAGACCAGUGCGUUGGCUAUGUAUCUGCUAACAUGACUACCAGAAUACACACACACAGGAACCUGGAGGAGGAAGCCAGGCUGGGACUUGAGCCCAGGCACACAGCUGCAGGGGACGAUGUUCCUGAACAUCUUACCUGUUGUGAAGAGACCCAGGCCACACCAGAGUCCCCAAAGUCUCAGGUCCACAAAAGCUAGAUGGGAAGAAAGCCAAGGGAGCCAGGAGACCAUGUCCCGGUUGCUCCACUUCCCAUCCAGCUCUCUGCUUGUGGUCUGGGAAAGCAGUGGAGGAUGGCCCAAAGCCUUGAGACCCUGCAUCCAUGUGGGAGACCCAGAAGGAGCUCCAGGCUCCUGGCUUCGUAUUGGCUCAGCUCCAGCCAUUGCUUCCACAUGACUAUUUAAUGGACACAGCAAAACCUGCCUAAGCACAGAGAAGACUGCGGGUGGUUUAUAACGUGGCAUGUCUCCCUGGAGGAAAAGCUUGGGAAAGGUGGAGUGACUUCCAGGCAGUUCUUAAGAAAGCAAAACUUGUUUGGAAGCUAAUUCUGCCAUCCUGCUUUACAACCACAGAGAAGCAUGGACAGGGAGAGAUGUGCUUCUCUGUUCUAGUGAAAAAGGCAGGACUCUGAAAUCAGCCCUGGGGACCACAACUCCUGAGACUGAUG